RNAcentral lists this ribosomal RNA (357 nucleotides) under Triticum aestivum (bread wheat). Its description in RNAcentral is "partial small subunit ribosomal RNA". The record is from RNAcentral. Lineage: Eukaryota; Viridiplantae; Streptophyta; Magnoliopsida; Poales; Poaceae.
AUGUCAGAUGAUCAUAUAUUUGGGUUUGUUAGAUUUGCCGAAUGUUAUCCAAAUGUCUCAAUUGCUUAUCACAUUAUCUUAACGGUGCAUGUGACUAUAGCAUCAUUUGAAUGAAGUUUCUCAAAAUUGAAGUUACUGAAAAUUUUAUUUGAGGUCAACUAUGUCACAAGAAAGACUAUUACCAUCGUGGGACUUGAACCCGGGUCUCUAUCCGGCAAAUAUGACUUUUUUAGUGAAAAUGACUUUUUAGUGUUUUCCAUUGCAUUUGUGUUUACUUAUCCAUUCCAAAAUGACAUCCAACUACGUCAGGCCGGCUCAGGGAGGAGCGGCAGUGGCGGCGCGCGUCGACAUGGUUAG